UUUUAUUUACCACAUUCAUACAUGCUCAUUUUUAAAAGUCAAUCCAGAAAUGUCCAUGCUAAAUAAACAAAAGACGCUGCCCUGCCCCUUCCUCAACCAAUUUCAUUCCCCUCCCUCACAAAAAAUUACUGCGGGCAGCUUGGCAUGCCCUGUGUAAACACACACCCACACGCACAGACACCAUGUAUGUGUCUGUGCCAUUGUCAUGUGUUUUGAGCUGUUUCCCAGCACUCUGUGUGGUGACCUAAUGAGGCUCUCCAUCCUCGUCGGCGCACAUGGAACCCCCUCGUUCUCACUGAACAGCCUCAGGCUCCUUCACACGCUGCGUCUUCUUUACAGCCUGCCAGUUAAACCCAAUGUUUUUACCUUGGAAAAUGUCACGGGCUGUUCUCCAGAAGCAGCAGUGAGCUGGUUCAUUGACGUUUGGUGACUUGUUCAGUUGUGCUCCUCACAUUCCAUUACUGCCACACCUACAGACACGUUGGUGUUUCACAAAAAGGCAAAUUCCAAAAGGCGACUGGGAGGAGCUUGCUAGCCGAGGCUCUUCUGCAGAGUGUUUUUUGGUCUUAAUGCUUCUGAAAUGCAUUUUAAAAUAAGCCAAACUGGUCAUGUGGCACCUGUGAUAUUAUCUAGAAAAGUGUGACUUGAGGGAAUUUCUCCAGAAUCAAAGAUGUCUGAACGUGUCUGCAUGAACAGAACCCAGGACGCUCCUUACUAAGCAGGCUCUGCAGAACAAACGCAAGCCAGGAGGAAAAGAGGAAAACGUAGGUUGGUGACAUGGUUUGGAAUGGGGAAGUUCGUGUGUGUGUGUGUGUGUGUGUGUGUGUGUGUAUAAUUUCGUUGAGGUAUAAUUCAUAUACCACAGAAUUUCCUUUUAAAUAUACAACUGGCUCAUUUGCAGUAAGUUUUUAGAGUUGUGCACCAGCAUCACAAGCUCAUUUCACAACAUUUCCAUCACCCCAAAAGAAGCCUCCUGCCAUGAGCAGACACUGCCCACUCCCACUCCGAGCACAACCACCACCACCCAUCUACUUUCUUCUGUACAUAUUUGCCUUUUCUGGAAAUUACAUAACGUGGAAUCGUGCAAUAUGUGGUAUUUUGAAGCUGGUUUCUUUCACUUAGCAUCAUAUAUGUUAACUAUUUUUUUUUUUUUUUUGAGACAGAAUCUCACUUUGUUGCCUAGGCUGGAGUGCAGUGGUGCCAUCAUAGCUCACUGUGGCCUCAAUCUCCCAACCUCAAGCCAUCCUUCUACCUCAUUCUCUCAAGUAGCUGGGACUACAGACAAGUGCCACCAUGCCUGGCUGAUUUAUUCUUAUUAUGAUCAUUAAUUAUUUGUUUAUUUUUAGUAGAGACAAGGUCUUGCUGUGUUGCGCAGGCUGGGCUCGAACUCCUGAGUUCAAGCGAUCCUCCCACCUCAGCCUCCCAAAGUGCUGGGAUUACAGGCGUGAGCCACGGCACCCAACAGCACUUCAUUCCUUUCUGUGGCUGAGCAUUCUUCCAUUGUGUAGAUAUAGCAUAUUUUGUUGAUCCAGUUGCUGGUUGAUGGACAUUUGGGUUGUUUCCAUGCUUUCGUUAUUACAAAUAAUAUUGCUAUGCACCUUUGUGUACAGGUCUUUGUGUAGACAUAUGUGUCACAUAUUUUCAUUUCUCUUGUGUAGAUAGAUACUUAAGAGUGGAAUUGCUGGGUCAUAUGGUAAAUCUAUGUUUAACAUUUUAAGAAACUGCCAAACUGCUUUCUAAAUUGGCUCCACCAUUGAAAGUAUGUAAAUUUGCUACUAGCUUACAAAAUACUUAAUUGAGGCAUAAUUGACAAACACAGAGUUGGACAUAUUUAAUGUGCGCAAUUUGAUGAGUUUGGAGAUACACAUGCAGCCAUGAAGCCAUCACUGCAGUAAAUGCCGUAAAUAUAUCCAUCACCUCCACAAGCUUCCUCUUGCCCUAUUCACUGAUUUUGAUAAGAAUACUUGGCAUCUACACUCUUGGGAAGUAGUUAAGUAUAUAAGGCAGGAUUGUUACUAUAGGCGCCAUGCUGUACCCUAGAUCUCCAGCACUUACUCAUCCUGCAGAACUGACACUUUGAACCUUUUGACCAAUACCUCCCCCUCUCCUCCUGUCCCCAGCACCUGGUUACCAUGAUUCUACUGUCUGCUUCUAUGAGUUAUACCUGACACUAAGACUCUUAGGAAAAAAAAAAAAAAAAAGACAGAGAAAAAGCUUCCUGACUUUGGCCUUGGCAAUAAUUUUCUAAGUAUGACCACGAAAGCACAGGCAACAAAAGCAAAGAUAGGCAAAUUGGAUUUCAUCAAACUAUAAAGGCUCUGUACAGCAAAGGAAACAACCAACGAAAGGAAAAUGCAACCUACAGAAUGGGAGAAGAUAUUUGAAAAUCAUAUAUUUGAUAGAAGAUUAAUAUUCAUAGUAUCUGAGGAACUUUUACAACUCAAUAGCAGAAAAACAAAAUAACCAGAUUGAAAACCGGGCAAAGAAAUGGAAUACGCAUUUCUCCAAAGAAGACAUACAAAUGGCCAGCAUGUAUAUGAAACAGUUGAUAUCACACUCAUCAUCAGGGAAAUACAAAUCAGAACUCAGAACCAUGAUGAAAUUUAUUUCACAUCCCUUAGAGUGACUAUUUCAUAUGUGUGCGUGUGUUUAUGUGGGUGCGUAUAUAUAGGUGUGUGUGUAUAUAUAUAUAUACACAUAGAUACAUAUAUAUAAGUAAAAAAAUGUUGGCGAAGAUGUGGAGAAAUUGGAACUCUUGUACACUGUUGGUAGGAAUGGAAAAUGGUACAAGCAUUAUGGAAAACAGCAUGGAGUUUCCUCAAAAAAUUAAAAAUAGAACUGCCAUGUGACCCAGCAAUCCCACUACUGGGUAUAUAUGCAAAGGAAUUGAAAUCAGCAUGUUGAAGAGAUACCUUCUCUCCUGUGUUUAUCGCAGCGUUAUUCACAACAGCCAAGAUAUGGAAUCAUGUCUUUUGAUGGAUGAAUGGAUAAAGAAAAUGUAGUAUUUAAAUAUAAUGGAAUAUUAUCUAGUUUUAAAAAAAGAAGAAGAAUCUGCCAUUUGUGACAACACCAAUGAUCCUAGAAGACAUUAUGCUAAGUGAAAUAGGGCAGACACAGAAGAACAAAUACUACAGGUUCUCGCUUAUAUGAAAAAGACAUUUGCUUUUCAAAAAAGAUCUUGAGAUUGUUAUUUAAUAGCCCAAGAGUAACUUAAGAUUAAUCAUUGCAACUUGGCCCCGUUCUGGGGAAAAGGCAUUUAUUUGAAGUUAUUGUGUAGAUAACCAAUGUCAUUUGAUGGUUUUGAGUGAUUUAUAAUCCUGGGGAUUUCCGUUCUCCUCUGAUUUGAAACAACAAGCAUAUUCAGGAGACUUUGCCCCAUUCUGACUGUUUCUAUCACAGCUAUGGUGCCUGGGUAUUCUACCUUUCCAACACCAGCCUCUCGCUGCGUGUGUGAGAGAAAGAGAUCAAAGCAGGAACAACAAAAUCCAGAUGCAAAUUUACUACAUAAAUAAAUGCUUUAAUAGUCUGAAAAUGUUUGUGACCUUUUAUUUUUUAAAACAUCUGCUCCUGCAUUAGUCAUGCUCUCUUCCAGUAAUAAUUAGCGAGUGUAUUUAUAUAUAUCACUCAGGGCGAGUUCUUGUGAUUUUUAUGUGUCUAGUAGGGCUUUCCAUCACAGCCCAGGAAGAAGGCCCCUUGAGAAGUUCUCCCUCUGGUCCACCAGCACCCCUUUCUCCUUUCCCAAAC
This 3744-nucleotide long non-coding RNA is filed under the name Homo sapiens (human). RNAcentral's name for it is "long non-coding RNA NONHSAT206608.1". Lineage: Eukaryota; Metazoa; Chordata; Mammalia; Primates; Hominidae. The record is from RNAcentral.